GACGAACCGUGCGAACGUUGUUCGGAAUCACUGGGCUUAAAGGGCGCGUAGGCGGCUCGCGAGGUCGGGGGUGAAAUCCCGCAGCUUAACUGCGGAAGGGCCUCCGAUACCGGCGGGCUGGAGGAAGGUGAGGGGUGCGCGGAACUUCUGGUGGAGCGGUGAAAUGCGUUGAUAUCAGAAGGAACGCCGGCGGCGAAAGCGGCGCACUGGACCUUUUCUGACGCUGAGGCGCGAAAGCUAGGGGAGCAAACGGGG
This 255-nucleotide ribosomal RNA is filed under the name uncultured bacterium. Its description in RNAcentral is "partial 16S ribosomal RNA". It matches the Rfam family "Bacterial small subunit ribosomal RNA", at positions 524 to 777 of the family's 1533-position model. The record is from RNAcentral.